GACGAACGCUGGCGGCGUGCUUAACACAUGCAAGUCGAGCGGUAAGGCCUUUCGGGGUACACGAGCGGCGAACGGGUGAGUAACACGUGGGUGACCUGCCCUCAGCUCUGGGAUAAGCCUGGGAAACUGGGUCUAAUACCGGAUAUGACCUGCUGCUUCAUGGUGGUGGGUGGAAAGUUUUUCGGCUGGGGAUGGGCCCGCGGCCUAUCAGCUUGUUGGUGGGGUGAUGGCCUACCAAGGCGACGACGGGUAGCCGGCCUGAGAGGGCGACCGGCCACACUGGGACUGAGACACGGCCCAGACUCCUACGGGAGGCAGCAGUGGGGAAUAUUGCGCAAUGGGCGGAAGCCUGACGCAGCGACGCCGCGUGGGGGAUGACGGCCUUCGGGUUGUAAACCUCUUUCGACAGGGACGAAGCGUGAGUGACGGUACCUGUAGAAGAAGCACCGGCCAACUACGUGCCAGCAGCCGCCGCA
RNAcentral lists this ribosomal RNA (476 nucleotides) under uncultured bacterium. Its description in RNAcentral is "bacterial SSU rRNA". It matches the Rfam family "Bacterial small subunit ribosomal RNA", at positions 28 to 522 of the family's 1533-position model. The record is from RNAcentral.